GACGAACGCUGGCGGCGUGCUUAACACAUGCAAGUCGAGCGGUAAGGCUCCUUCGGGAGUACACGAGCGGCGAACGGGUGAGUAACACGUGAGCAAUCUGCCCUUCUCAUCGGAAUAAGCGUGGGAAACCGCGUCUAAUGCCGAAUACGACCACCUUUCGCAUGAUCGGAGGUGGAAAGCUCCGGCGGAGAAGGAUGAGCUCGCGGCCUAUCAGCUAGUUGGUGAGGUAACGGCCCACCAAGGCGACGACGGGUAGCCGGCCUGGGAGGGUGGCCGACAGCACGGGGCCUAAGACCCGCCCCGACGCCGACCGGGAGGAAAGGGGGGAAAAUAAUGACCAUGGGGCGAAACCCUGUCCCAGAAAGGCCGGGGGAGGGAUAAGGGCUUUCGGGUUGUAACCCUCUUACCGCGGGGACAAAGGGAAAGUCCGGGUCCCUGCAGAAGAAGACCCGGCAAAUUAAUUGCACGCGCCCGCGUUAA
Molecule: ribosomal RNA, 480 nt
Filed under: uncultured bacterium
Lineage: Bacteria
Description: partial 16S ribosomal RNA
Rfam family: Bacterial small subunit ribosomal RNA
Source: RNAcentral